This 422-nucleotide ribosomal RNA is filed under the name uncultured bacterium. RNAcentral describes it as "bacterial SSU rRNA". It matches the Rfam family "Bacterial small subunit ribosomal RNA", at positions 355 to 774 of the family's 1533-position model. The record is from RNAcentral. RNAcentral also lists the same sequence under 1 other name.
UGAGGAAUAUUGGACAAUGGGUGGAAGCCUGAUCCAGCCAUCCCGCGUGAAGGACGACGGCCCUAUGGGUUGUAAACUUCUUUUGUACAGGGAUAAACCUCCCCUCGUGAGGGGAGCUGAAGGUACUGUACGAAUAAGCACCGGCUAACUCCGUGCCAGCAGCCGCGGUAAUACGGAGGGUGCAAGCGUUAUCCGGAUUUAUUGGGUUUAAAGGGUCCGUAGGCGGGCCCGUAAGUCAGUGGUGAAAUCUCGCAGCUUAACUGCGAAACUGCCAUUGAUACUGCGGGUCUUGAGUGAAUUUGAAGUGGCUGGAAUAAGUAGUGUAGCGGUGAAAUGCAUAGAUAUUACUUAGAACACCGAUUGCGAAGGCAGGUCACUAAGAUUCAACUGACGCUGAGGGACGAAAGCGUGGGGAGCGAACA